Small nuclear RNA from Equus asinus (donkey), 164 nucleotides. Its record names the gene U1. It matches the Rfam family "U1 spliceosomal RNA". Rfam says of the family: U1 is a small nuclear RNA (snRNA) component of the spliceosome (involved in pre-mRNA splicing). Its 5' end forms complementary base pairs with the 5' splice junction, thus defining the 5' donor site of an intron. The record is from Ensembl. NCBI's taxonomy places the organism in Eukaryota, Metazoa, Chordata, Mammalia, Perissodactyla, Equidae.
AUAUUUACCUGGCAGGAGACAUACCAUGAUCAAGAAGGGGAUUUUCCCAGAGUGAGACUUGUGCAUUGCACUCUGGAUGUGCUGAUCCCUGCAGUAUGGCUGCAUGCAGGAAUCUUGACUGCAUGAUUUGUGCUGGAGGGGAUCUGUGUUCCUGCUCUCCCCUG